RNAcentral lists this ribosomal RNA (700 nucleotides) under uncultured bacterium. RNAcentral describes it as "bacterial SSU rRNA". It matches the Rfam family "Bacterial small subunit ribosomal RNA", at positions 59 to 732 of the family's 1533-position model. The record is from RNAcentral.
AAGUCGAACGAUCACUAUUGGGUAGCAAUAUUCGGUAGUGGGAGUGGCGCAAGGGUGCGUAACACGUGGGUAAUUUGCCGUAAAGUCUGGGAUAACUUGCUGAAAGGCGAGCUAAUACCGGAUGUGAUUGCUGGGGGGCAUCCUCUGGCACUUAAAGUCGGGGGCCGUAAGGCCUGACACUUUUCGAUAAGCCCGCGGCCUAUCAGCUAGUUGGUGAGGUAACGGCUCACCAAGGCUAAGACGGGUAGCUGGUCUGAGAGGACGACCAGCCUCACUGGAACUGAGACACGGUCCAGACACCUACAGGUGGCAGCAGUCGAGAAUUUUUCUCAAUGGGGGAAACCCUGAAGGAGCGACGCCGCGUGGGGGAUGAAUGGCUUCGGCCCGUAAACCCCUGUCAUUUGCGAUCAAACCUUACGACCUAACACGUCGUAAGCUGAUAGUAGCGGAAGAGGAAGGGACGGCUAACUCUGUGCCAGCAGCCGCGGUAAUACAGAGGUCCCAAGCGUUGUUCGGAUUCACUGGGCGUAAAGGGUGCGUAGGCGGUCGGGUAAGUCUGACGUGAAAUCUUCAAGCUCAACUUGGAAACUGCGUCGGAUACUAUUCGGCUAGAGGAAUGGAGGGGAGACUGGAAUACUUGGUGUAGCAGUGAAAUGCGUAGAUAUCAAGUGGAACACCAGUGGCGAAGGCGAGUCUCUGG